This 253-nucleotide ribosomal RNA is filed under the name uncultured bacterium. Its description in RNAcentral is "partial 16S ribosomal RNA". It matches the Rfam family "Bacterial small subunit ribosomal RNA", at positions 524 to 776 of the family's 1533-position model. The record is from RNAcentral.
UACGUAGGGUGCAAGCAUUAAUCGGAUUUAUUGGGCGUAAAGGGCGCGCAGGCGGGGAUGCAAGUCAGAUGUGAAAUCCCGGGGCUCAACCCCGGAACAGCAUUUGAAACUACAUCUCUAGAGGGUAGACGGAGAAAACGGAAUUCCACAAGUAGCGGUGAAAUGCGUAGAUAUGUGGAAGAACACCAGUGGCGAAGGCGGUUUUCUAGUUUAUACCUGACGCUGAGGCGCGGAAGUAAGGGGAGCAAACAGG